RNAcentral lists this transfer RNA (72 nucleotides) under Phycisphaerales bacterium. RNAcentral's name for it is "tRNA-Thr". It matches the Rfam family "tRNA". Rfam says of the family: Transfer RNA (tRNA) molecules are approximately 80 nucleotides in length. Their secondary structure includes four short double-helical elements and three loops (D, anti-codon, and T loops). Further hydrogen bonds mediate the characteristic L-shaped molecular structure. tRNAs have two regions of fundamental functional importance: the anti-codon, which is responsible for specific mRNA codon recognition, and the 3' end, to which the tRNAs corresponding amino acid is attached (by aminoacyl-tRNA synthetases). tRNAs cope with the degeneracy of the genetic code in two manners: having more than one tRNA (with a specific anti-codon) for a particular amino acid; and 'wobble' base-pairing, i.e. permitting non-standard base-pairing at the 3rd anti-codon position. Lineage: Bacteria; Pseudomonadati; Planctomycetota; Phycisphaerae; Phycisphaerales. The record is from RNAcentral.
GCCGCUGUAGCUCAGUGGUAGAGCACACCCUUGGUAAGGGUGAGGUCGUGGGUUCAAGUCCCACCAGCGGCU